This 256-nucleotide ribosomal RNA is filed under the name uncultured bacterium. RNAcentral's name for it is "partial 16S ribosomal RNA". It matches the Rfam family "Bacterial small subunit ribosomal RNA", at positions 99 to 354 of the family's 1533-position model. The record is from RNAcentral.
CGGACGGGUGAGUAACGCGUGGAAAACCUGCCGUAUACUGGGGGAUAACACUUAGAAAUAGGUGCUAAUACCGCAUAAGCGCACAGCUUCCGCAUGAAGCGGUGUGAAAAACUCUGGUGGUAUACGAUGGUUCCGCGUCUGAUUAGCUAGUUGGUGGGGUAAUGGCCUACCAAGGCAACGAUCAGUAGCCGGCCUGAGAGGGUGAACGGCCACAUUGGGACUGAGACACGGCCCAAACUCCUACGGGAGGCAGCAG